This 253-nucleotide small RNA is filed under the name Nannospalax galili (Upper Galilee mountains blind mole rat). Its description in RNAcentral is "Metazoan signal recognition particle RNA (ENSNGAG00000008732.1)". Lineage: Eukaryota; Metazoa; Chordata; Mammalia; Rodentia; Spalacidae. The record is from RNAcentral.
GCCGGGCACGGUGGUGCACACCUUUAAUCCCAGCACUUGGGAGGCAGAGACAGGCGGAUCUCAGUGAGUUCAAGGCCAGCCUGGUCUACAUAGUAAGUUCCAGGAUACUGUAGCUGGGGCUACAGGGAGACCCUGUCUCAAAAAGACCAAAAACAAAACAAUUUGAGACAGGGUCUCCUUGUAGCCCCAGCUGGCCUGGAACUUACUAUGUAGACCAGGCUGGCCUUGAACUUACAGAGAUCCUCCUGCCUCU